AGUGAGAGCCGGGGCGAAAAAGGGCGGAUUCGGGCAAAAGAGGGGAAAAAAAACCGGGGGGGUUUGGGGAAUAAAUGGUGGAAAAGUGGCGGGUUUUGGUGGUUUUUGGGGGGGUUUGGGGGGGUUAAGAAGAGCGGGAGAGGUCCGAGGGGUUUCUGGGUAAAAAAUCCGGGAGUUUUGGGGAAAAAAAGCCGAAUUUUGGGGCAAAAAUGGUGGAAAUUUGGGCAAAAGAGCCAAAAAAAUGGAGUUUGUGUGGAAAAAUUGGUGUUUUUUUGGGGGAGUUUAGGGGUUUUUUGGGUUUUUUGGGGGUGUCAGAAGGGCUGGGAGAGCUCCAGGAGCUGCCGAGAGAAUUGGGAGAAAAUCCGGGAAUUUUGGGGAAAAAACGGGGAAUUUUGGGGAAAAAAAUGCCGAAUUUGGGAAAAAAGAGGCAAAAAUCGGAGUUUGUGUGGAAACCUGGGGGAUUUUGGUGUGAUUUUGGGGGGUUUUGGGGGUUUUGGGGUGGCCCAGCACGACGUGGCGAGCUGCAGCGGCGCUACGGCGAGUGAGAGCCGGGGCGAAAAAGGGCGGAUUCGGGCAAAGAGGGGAAAAAAAACCGGGGGGGUUUGGGGAAUAAAUGGUGGAAAAGUGGC
Corvus hawaiiensis (hawaiian crow) is the source of this 629-nucleotide long non-coding RNA. RefSeq lists it as uncharacterized. The transcript has 2 exons. NCBI's taxonomy places the organism in Eukaryota, Metazoa, Chordata, Aves, Passeriformes, Corvidae. The record is from RefSeq and is a predicted model, not a curated record.